UACAGAGGGGGCAAGCGUUGUUCGGAAUUACUGGGCGUAAAGGGCGCGUAGGCGGCCUGCUAAGUCGAACGUGAAAUCCCCGGGCUCAACCCGGGAACUGCGUCCGAUACUGGUUGGCUUGAAUCCGGGAGAGGGAUGCGGAAUUCCAGGUGUAGCGGUGAAAUGCGCAGAUAUCGGGAGGAACACCAAUGGCGAAGGCAGCUCGCUGGGACGGUACUGACGCUGAGACGCGAAAGCGUGGGGAGCAAACAGG
RNAcentral lists this ribosomal RNA (253 nucleotides) under uncultured bacterium. Its description in RNAcentral is "partial 16S ribosomal RNA". It matches the Rfam family "Bacterial small subunit ribosomal RNA", at positions 524 to 776 of the family's 1533-position model. The record is from RNAcentral.